This 497-nucleotide ribosomal RNA is filed under the name uncultured bacterium. RNAcentral's name for it is "partial 16S ribosomal RNA". It matches the Rfam family "Bacterial small subunit ribosomal RNA", at positions 28 to 507 of the family's 1533-position model. The record is from RNAcentral.
GAUGAACGCUGGCGGCGUGCCUAAUACAUGCAAGUCGAGCGAACGGACGAGAAGCUUGCUUUUCUGAUGUUAGCGGCGGACGGGUGAGUAACACGUGGAUAACCUACCUAUAAGACUGGGAUAACUUCGGGAAACCGGAGCUAAUACCGGAUAAUAUUUUGAACCGCAUGGUUCAAAAGUGAAAGACGGUCUUGCUGUCACUUAUAGAUGGAUCCGCGCUGCAUUAGCUAGUUGGUGAGGUAACGGCUUACCAAGGCAACGAUGCAUAGCCGACCUGAGAGGGUGAUCGGCCACACUGGAACUGAGACACGGUCCAGACUCCUACGGGAGGCAGCAGUAGGGAAUCUUCCGCAAUGGGCGAAAGCCUGACGGAGCAACGCCGCGUGAGUGAUGAAGGUCUUCGGAUCGUAAAACUCUGUUAUUGGGGAAGAACAUAUGUGUAAGUAACUGUGCACAUCUUGACGGUACCUAAUCAGAAAGCCACGGCUAACUACGUG